CACCGCCCGUCACACCAUGGGAGUCAGUUGCUCCAGAAAUGCCCGCGCCAACCCGCAAGGGGAGCAGGGCCUCAAGGAGUGACUGGUAACUGGGGUG
Molecule: ribosomal RNA, 97 nt
Filed under: uncultured bacterium
Lineage: Bacteria
Description: partial 16S ribosomal RNA
Rfam family: Bacterial small subunit ribosomal RNA
Source: RNAcentral